RNAcentral lists this ribosomal RNA (460 nucleotides) under uncultured bacterium. Its description in RNAcentral is "partial 16S ribosomal RNA". It matches the Rfam family "Bacterial small subunit ribosomal RNA", at positions 338 to 795 of the family's 1533-position model. The record is from RNAcentral.
CCUACGGGCGGCAGCAGUGAGGAAUAUUGGUCAAUGGGCGCGAGCCUGAACCAGCCAAGUCGCGUGAGGGAAGACGGUCCUAUGGAUUGUAAACCUCUUUUGUCGGGGAGCAAAAGACGCCACGCGUGGCGUUCCGAGAGUACCCGAAGAAAAAGCAUCGGCUAACUCCGUGCCAGCAGCCGCGGUAAUACGGAGGAUGCGAGCGUUAUCCGGAUUUAUUGGGUUUAAAGGGUGCGCAGGCGGGAGGUCAAGUCAGCGGUAAAAUUGAGAGGCUCAACCUCUUCCAGCCGUUGAAACUGGUUUGCUUGGGUGAGUGAGAAGUAUGCGGAAUGCGGGGUGUAGCGGUGGAAUGCAUAGGUAUCACGCAGAACUCCGAUUGCGAAGGCAGCAUACCGGCGGUCAACUGACGCUCAUGCACGAAAGUGUGGGUAUCGAACAGGAUUAGAUACCCCUGGUAGUC